RNAcentral lists this ribosomal RNA (440 nucleotides) under uncultured bacterium. Its description in RNAcentral is "partial 16S ribosomal RNA". It matches the Rfam family "Bacterial small subunit ribosomal RNA", at positions 338 to 795 of the family's 1533-position model. The record is from RNAcentral.
CCUACGGGUGGCAGCAGUAGGGAAUUUUGCGCAAUGGACGAAAGCCUGAAGCAGCAACGCCGCGUGAACGAGACGCCCUUCGGGGUGUAAAGUUCUGUCCGUGGGGACGAAAAAUGCCGGUACCCACAGUGGAAGCACCGGCUAACUCCGUGCCAGCAGCCGCGUGAAUACGGAGGGUGCAAGCGUUGUCCGGAAUCAUUGGGCGUAACGCGUUCGUAGGCGGCAUGUAAAGUCAGGUGUUAAAGGCGCAGGCUCAACCUGUGUAUGGCACUUGAUACUUGCAAGCUGGAGUGCGGUAGAGGUAAAGGGAAUUCCGGGUGUAGCGGUGAAAUGCUUAGAUAUCAGGAAGAACAUCGGUGGCGUAAGCGCUUUACUGGGCCGUAAUUGACGCUGAGGAACGAAAGCCAGGGCAGCAAAUGGGAUUAGAUACCCCGGUAGUC